Molecule: ribosomal RNA, 707 nt
Filed under: uncultured Alphaproteobacteria bacterium
Lineage: Bacteria; Pseudomonadati; Pseudomonadota; Alphaproteobacteria
Description: partial 16S ribosomal RNA
Source: RNAcentral
ACCUUGUUACGACUUCACCCCAGUCGCUGACUAUACCGUGGUCAAGGGUUUGAAACCUUGCCUUAAGGUAGAACCAACUCCCAUGGUGUGACGGGCGGUGUGUACAAGACCCGGGAACGCAUUCACCGUGGCACGCUGAUCCACGAUUACUAGUAAUUCCAGCCUUCAUGCACUCGAGUUGCAGAGUGCAAUCCGAACUGAGGUAUCUUUUAGGGAUUUGCUUAACUUCGCAGUCUUGCUUCCUGUUGUAGAUACCAUUGUAGCACGUGUGUAGCCCAACACGUAAGGGCCAUGAGGACUUGACGUCAUCCCCACCUUCCUCCAGCUUAUCACUGGCAGUUCUUUCAGAGUGCCCAACUUAAUGAUGGCAACUAAAAGUGAGGGUUGCGCUCGUUGCGGGACUUAACCCAACAUCUCACGACACGAGCUGACGACAGCCAUGCAGCACCUGUGUUUCGUCCGGCCGAACCGAAAACUCUAAUCUCUUAGAGUCGCGACGAACAUGUCAAGUGUUGGUAAGGUUCUGCGCGUAUCUUCGAAUUAAACCACAUGCUCCACUACUUGUGCGGGUCCCCGUCAAUUCAUUUGAGUUUUAACCUUGCGGUCGUACUCCCCAGGCGGGGUGUUUAUCGGUUUCCCUGCGACACUGAAAAUAAAUUUCCAACGUCUAACACACAUCGUUUACGGCAUGGACUACGAAGGGUAUU